RNAcentral lists this ribosomal RNA (191 nucleotides) under uncultured Exiguobacterium sp. Its description in RNAcentral is "partial 16S ribosomal RNA". It matches the Rfam family "Bacterial small subunit ribosomal RNA", at positions 335 to 518 of the family's 1533-position model. Lineage: Bacteria; Bacillati; Bacillota; Bacilli; Caryophanales. The record is from RNAcentral.
ACUCCUACGGGAGGCAGCAGUAGGGAAUCUUCCACAAUGGACGAAAGUCUGAUGGAGCAACGCCGCGUGAGUGAUGAAGGUUUUCGGAUCGUGAAACUCUGUUGUAAGGGAAGAACAAGUACGAGAGGUAAUGCUCGUACCUUGACGGUACCUUGCGAGAAAGCCACGGCUAACUACGUACCAGCAGCCGC